AAGUCUGAUGGAGCAACGCCGCGUGAGUGAUGAAGGUUUUCGGAUCGUAAAACUCUGUUGUAAGGGAAGAACCAGUACGUCAGGCAAUGGACGUACCUUGACGGUACCUUAUUAGAAAGCCACGGCUAACUACGUGCCAGCAGCCGCGGUAAUACGUAGGUGGCGAGCGUUGUCCGGAUUUACUGGGCGUAAAGGGUGCGUAGGCGGAUAUUUAAGUCAGAUGUGAAAACCCCGGGCUUAACUUGGGGACUGCAUUUGAAACUGGAUAUCUAGAGUGCAGGAGAGGAAAGCGGAAUUCCUAGUGUAGCGGUGAAAUGCGUAGAGAUUAGGAAGAACACCAGUGGCGAAGGCGGCUUUCUGGACUGUAACUGACGCUGAGGCACGAAAGCGUGGGUAGCAAACA
This 403-nucleotide ribosomal RNA is filed under the name uncultured Bacillota bacterium. RNAcentral's name for it is "bacterial SSU rRNA". It matches the Rfam family "Bacterial small subunit ribosomal RNA", at positions 379 to 774 of the family's 1533-position model. Lineage: Bacteria; Bacillati; Bacillota. The record is from RNAcentral.